This 491-nucleotide ribosomal RNA is filed under the name uncultured bacterium. RNAcentral's name for it is "partial 16S ribosomal RNA". It matches the Rfam family "Bacterial small subunit ribosomal RNA", at positions 29 to 506 of the family's 1533-position model. The record is from RNAcentral.
AGUGAACGCUGGCGGUAGGCCUAACACAUGCAAGUCGAACGGCAGCACAGUAAGAGCUUGCUCUUACGGUUGGCGAGUGGCGGACGGGUGAGGAAUACAUAGGAAUCUACUUUUUCGGGGGGGAUAACGUAGGGAAACUUACGCUAAUACCGAAUACGACCUACGGGUGAAAGCAGGGGAUCUUCGGACCUUGCGCGAUUGAAUGAGCCGAUGCCGGAUUAGCUAGUUGGCGGGGUAAAGGCCCACCAAGGCGACGAUCCGUAGCUGGUCUGACAGGAUGAUCAGCCACAUUGGACCUAAGACACGGUCCAGAUUCCAACGGGAGGCAGCAGUGGGGAAUAUUGGACAAUGGGCGCAAGCCUGAUCCAGCCAUACCGCGUGGGUAAAGAAGGCCUUCGGGUGGUAAAGCCCUUUUGUUGGGAAAGAAAAGCAGCAGGUUAAUACCCCGCUGUUCUGACGGUACCCAAAGAAUAAGCACCGGCUAACUUCGU